This is a long non-coding RNA of Sardina pilchardus (European sardine), 2208 nucleotides long. RefSeq lists it as uncharacterized. NCBI's taxonomy places the organism in Eukaryota, Metazoa, Chordata, Actinopteri, Clupeiformes, Clupeidae. The record is from RefSeq and is a predicted model, not a curated record. The transcript has 5 exons.
CAACUUUGUGUGCAGGGGUUUUAAACCUGAAACCACACAGUUCAACACAAUGCAGGUUAGACCUGUUUGACAGAUGACACUAAGUAAUUCUCCUUUAUGAAAGAGGAGAAACACAUAAAAACUCAAAUCUAACGCAGAGUGAGGUGAGUUAUUCUGAGUAAAGAUUAAAUAAAAGUACAUCAAUUCAAAGGGAAAUGUAGGGUAAUCUUAUCUUCCCACAUCUUAGCUGAGGUAACAGACACUCAUCAUCCUCUGCCUAUUUUCAUGACUUUUUCCAUGAGUUAAUGACUGAGAUUUUUUACAAUGUUUAAAUUGUACAAUGUUCCCGACUGCUGCAUUAUAACGUGUUAUGGAUCCAUAACACAUAUUAUCAUCUAAUGUUGUAGACCUUGUAUCAACUUAAGUUAUAUUGGAUAUUACCGGUUUUGAACUUUAAUUUGCCAUUUAUAUUAUGGCCUGCAGGCCUCAUUGAGCUGAGCUCAUGCAAGUCAGAAGGGGGAAAAUACUAUUGGGGAAAGGUUCCAGUGGGGGCUGGCAUAGACAUGAAGAGGGGGAGUGGGGUGUGUUUGUGUGUGAAUGUUGUACAGAAGCACAGAUACAGUACAGUCCAUCUGAUCACAAGUCCAUUUUAUACACUGACCAUGGCAUUUUCUCACCCAUUCAUUUUGUAAUGACCGGUAUUUUUUUUUUGUUUUUUUACCGGGAAUAGACAUGGAUGUUCUAAAGUUAAAUGAAACACCCAAUUGUUCUUCUCAAUUCCCGCUCUUUACAAUUUCAACAGACUUUAACAACCUUUUCUGUUUCCAAGUGUAGCUAAGAAUAAAUGUAGAAAUGGACUCUAUCCUCAUAGUGGAGGUUUAAUGAAAAUGUGUUCUAAUGGAAUUAACUGAGGUUUUGCAGAUGGGAUUAAUAUCAUUAAAGCUGUCAGUAUCUUGGAAGGGAGGCCAACAUUUCCAGUCAAGACGGCUGUCACUGCUGAAGAGAAGAAGAAAAUGGAGGAAUCUGUCCAGUCUCUGGCUUCCCAUCCAUUGUGGAUGGCGACUCAAUCACUGGCAAAGGAACUGCAGGACCUGAGAACCCAACUACAUGAACAUGACACUGAGCUGGAGCAGAGAGACAAACAGCUAGAGAAGACAGAUGAACAGCUGGAGGAGAGAAACAAACGACUGGAGAAGAGAGACCAACAGCUGGAGGAGAGGAACAAACAGCUGGAGGAGACAGACAAACAGCUGAAGGAGAGAAACAAACAGCUGGAGGAAACACAAAAACAGCUGAAGGAGAAAGACCAACAGCUGGAGGAGAGAAACAAACAGCUGGAGGAGAGAGACAAACAGCUGGUGGUAGAGAGACAAAGAUGAUCCAGAUCCUCCUCCCAUCAGGAGAAGACGGAGUAGGGGGGAGCCUCCAGUCAUGGGAGGAGAGAGUCCUGGUCCAGCUCUACCAGUGUCUCCUGCUGUGUCUGAGCUAAGGCUGGUGCUGCUGGGGGGAAGCUAGCUGGGAAGAAGGCAGCAGGAAACACCAUCUUGGGCAAACACAUACUCACACACACAUCCGCAGAGACCCAGCAUAGUGAGAGCAGACGAGGGGAGGUGGCUGGGAGACGGGUGACCAUGGUGGACACUCCAGAGUAGGACAGAAUCAUCACUAACCAGUAUCGAAGGGUGGUGGGUUUUAUUCAUGGCAGAAUCUUACUAACAGCACAGUCUACUUAAAAGUUACCUUGAUUGGAUCCUUGGAAAACAGUUCCGGAAUCCCUCCUCUCAAAAACAACAUCCAGGAUUCUGAGGAUGAAAAAAUAAAAUAAAUAUAUAUACACACACACACAAACACACACACACACACAAUACAUAUACUGUAUGAGGAUUGAGAACUGCAAGCAGCUACUGGGAAAAUCAGAUGUUGGUCAGCUACAGUGAUUAUUUUCCAAUAAUUUAUCAGUGAGUAUCUGGACCACAGACAUGAAGAUAAUUCAGACGAUAUUGAUGAAAAUAUGAUUGUAAUGCUUGUGUGCCAUAUGUGUGUGUUGUAAUGCUUGUGUGCCAUAUAUUCUUUACAAUAACUUAAAACUAAUAUGGGAAUGUAAUGUUGUCUGUGCUGGUCAUGGUUAUAGACAGACAGACAUAUUAGUAAAUGGUGUAGUAUCUUGGGUGGUCAUCCAUUUCUGUGCAGUUAAAUGACUCAUUGUUGAGAUAUCCAGCACAAUCUUUA